This 497-nucleotide ribosomal RNA is filed under the name uncultured bacterium. Its description in RNAcentral is "partial 16S ribosomal RNA". It matches the Rfam family "Bacterial small subunit ribosomal RNA", at positions 28 to 507 of the family's 1533-position model. The record is from RNAcentral.
GAUGAACGCUGGCGGCGUGCCUAAUACAUGCAAGUCGAGCGAACAGAUAAGGAGCUUGCUCCUUUGAAGUUAGCGGCGGACGGGUGAGUAACACGUGGGUAACCUACCUAUAAGACUGGGAUAACUUCGGGAAACCGGAGCUAAUACCGGAUAACAUUUAGAGCCGCAUGGUUCUAAAGUGAAAGAUGGUUUUGCUAUCACUUAUAGAUGGACCCGCGCCGUAUUAGCUAGUUGGUAAGGUAACGGCUUACCAAGGCGACGAUACGUAGCCGACCUGAGAGGGUGAUCGGCCACACUGGAACUGAGACACGGUCCAGACUCCUACGGGAGGCAGCAGUAGGGAAUCUUCCGCAAUGGGCGAAAGCCUGACGGAGCAACGCCGCGUGAGUGAUGAAGGGUUUCGGCUCGUAAAACUCUGUUAUUAGGGAAGAACAAAUGUGUAAGUAACUGUGCACAUCUUGACGGUACCUAAUCAGAAAGCCACGGCUAACUACGUG